Molecule: ribosomal RNA, 557 nt
Filed under: Crooktacalles certus
Lineage: Eukaryota; Metazoa; Arthropoda; Insecta; Coleoptera; Curculionidae
Description: SSU rRNA
Rfam family: Eukaryotic small subunit ribosomal RNA
Source: RNAcentral
GCUUGUCUCAAAGAUUAAGCCAUGCAUGUCUCAGUACAAGCCAAAUUAAGGUGAAACCGCGAAAGGCUCAUUAAAUCAGUUAUGGUUCCUUAGAUCGUACCCACAAUUACUUGGAUAACUGUGGUAAUUCUAGAGCUAAUACAUGCAAACAGAGCUCCGACCGGAGACGGAAGGAGUGCUUUUAUUAGAUCAAAACCAAUCGGUGGCGGGCUCGUCAUCGUACAACUUGGUGACUCUGAAUAACUUUACGCUGAUCGCACGGUCAUCGCACCGGCGACGCAUCUUUCAAAUGUCUGCCUUAUCAACUGUCGAUGGUAGGUUCUGCGCCUACCAUGGUCGUAACGGGUAACGGGGAAUCAGGGUUCGAUUCCGGAGAGGGAGCCUGAGAAACGGCUACCACAUCCAAGGAAGGCAGCAGGCGCGCAAAUUACCCACUCCCGGCACGGGGAGGUAGUGACGAAAAAUAACGAUACGGGACUCAUCCGAGGCCCCGUAAUCGGAAUGAGUACACUCUAAACCCUUUAACGAGGAUCAAUUGGAGGGCAAGUCUGGUGCCA